CUGGUUUUACACCAUUCUUCUUUAAUCGUUUUUGAAUAUCUUUAGGUUGAUUCAGAGCUUAAAGUAAGCAUGAAGGUACUGGUUAUCCUUGCCGCCCUUUGUCUGAGCGCUGUCUGUGGUAUACCACACUAUGGUGGAUAUCCUGGUAGUCACUACGGAUCAUACAACUAUGGGUAUCCAUACGGGCAUCAAAAUUACUACCAAUCCCAAUAUUACAACGGUUAUCCAAGUUACGGCAACUACCACUAUGGCGGCUACCCGUAUGGCAACAACUACAACAGCUACUACAACUUUGGGAGUCGGUACAGGAGAGGGGGAUAUUGAGAGCCGUAUCACGUGAUAUCCAAACACAAUGAACAGAAGAGACGGAUACGCUUCAAAUAACGUUUUUUAUUUUCAAUUCAUCGAAUAAACGUUAAUUCAAAUUGUUCUU
Magallana angulata is the source of this 433-nucleotide long non-coding RNA. RefSeq lists it as uncharacterized. NCBI's taxonomy places the organism in Eukaryota, Metazoa, Mollusca, Bivalvia, Ostreida, Ostreidae. The record is from RefSeq and is a predicted model, not a curated record. The transcript has 4 exons.